AGGACGAACGCUGGCGGCGCGCUUUAUGCAUGCAAGUCGAACGGACCUUCGGGUCAGUGGCGGACGGCUGAGUAACGCGUAGGCAAUCUGCCCAGUGGUGGGGGAUAACUCGCCGAAGGGUGAGCUAAUACCGCAUAAGUUCGGUGGUUGAAAUACCACCGAGGAAAGCAGCAAUGCACCACUGGAGGAGCCUG
This 194-nucleotide ribosomal RNA is filed under the name uncultured soil bacterium. RNAcentral's name for it is "partial 16S ribosomal RNA". It matches the Rfam family "Bacterial small subunit ribosomal RNA", at positions 26 to 233 of the family's 1533-position model. The record is from RNAcentral.